This 301-nucleotide ribosomal RNA is filed under the name uncultured bacterium. RNAcentral's name for it is "partial 16S ribosomal RNA". It matches the Rfam family "Bacterial small subunit ribosomal RNA", at positions 509 to 807 of the family's 1533-position model. The record is from RNAcentral.
CAGCAGCCGCGGGAAUACGAAGGGGGCUAGCGUUGCUCGGAAUGACUGGGCGUAAAGGGCGCGUAGGCGGCGGCCAAAGUCAGGCGUGAAAUUCCCGGGCUCAACCUGGGGGCUGCGUUUGAUACUUGGUUGCUUGAGUGGGGAAGAGGGUCGUGGAAUUCCCAGUGUAGAGGUGAAAUUCGUAGAUAUUGGGAAGAACACCGGUGGCGAAGGCGGCGACCUGGUCCUUUACUGACGCUGAGGCGCGAAAGCGUGGGGAGCAAACAGGAUUAGAGACCCCAGUAGUCCCUGUCUCUUAUAC